AACGUAGGGGGCAAGCGUUGUCCGGAAUUACUGGGCGUAAAGGGUGCGUAGGCGGCCGUUUAAGUCCUGUGUGAAAGGCUCCGGCUCAACCGGAGAGAGCCAUGGGAAACUGGACGGCUUGAGUGCCGGAGAGGGUUGCGGAAUUCCCGGUGUAGCGGUGAAAUGCGUAGAGAUCGGGAGGAACACCAGUGGCGAAGGCGGCAACCUGGACGGUGACUGACGCUGAGGCACGACAGCUGGGGGAGCAAACAGG
Molecule: ribosomal RNA, 253 nt
Filed under: uncultured bacterium
Lineage: Bacteria
Description: partial 16S ribosomal RNA
Rfam family: Bacterial small subunit ribosomal RNA
Source: RNAcentral